Molecule: ribosomal RNA, 253 nt
Filed under: uncultured bacterium
Lineage: Bacteria
Description: partial 16S ribosomal RNA
Rfam family: Bacterial small subunit ribosomal RNA
Source: RNAcentral
UACAGAGGUCCCGAGCGUUGUUCGGAUUCACUGGGCGUAAAGGGCGCGUAGGCGGCUUUGCGUGUCUUUCGUGAAAUCCCUCGGCUCAACUGAGGACGUGCGGAAGAAACUGCAGGGCUGGAGUCCGGGAGAGGAGGGUGGAAUUCCCAGUGUAGCGGUGAAAUGCGUAGAUAUUGGGAGGAACACCGGUGGCGAAGGCGGCCCUCUGGACCGGUACUGACGCUGAUGCGCGAAAGCCAGGGGAGCAAACGGG